Molecule: long non-coding RNA, 797 nt
Organism: Daphnia magna
Lineage: Eukaryota; Metazoa; Arthropoda; Branchiopoda; Diplostraca; Daphniidae
Exons: 2
Source: RefSeq, a predicted model, not a curated record
ACGUUGUGUCAUGUUUACCUCCUGAUUUUUGUUUCGUUUUUGUUAGUUGCCUAGCAUGUAUUGGUCCUCACGAUUAGUGUCCUGACAUUGAGAUGCACUAGUCAACCAGGAAUGCAUCGUUAUUGUUAUAAAGACACGUUUAUAAAUCUAACUGAAUGUUAUUGAGGGGGUAAAAUUACCCGAAAACCAGAACAGAAUGCAUUGGCAUUUCUCGUUUAUAUGACUCGAUUAAAAGAGUUAGGUGUCCCAACUGCGUCAUCCUACCAAGAUUAAGGAAGGAAAUUUAGUAGGCUACAUUACUGCUGAAGAACGUGAAAACUCUUCUCGUUACUUGCGUGAAUAUCAGAAUAUUAAAUAUAUAUUCGUUUGCCGCUCUCUCUGGGUUUCUCGCAUCAGAAACCAUGCCGAAGCAUUAAGGCCAUCCUCUCGCUGCAGGUAGCAGUGAAACACGAUGCCAGUCUGACACGCUGUAGGUAGCAGUAAACACAAUUCCAGCUCCAUGAAAGGAAACAAAACCAUAGGCCAUCCUUCUGACGCCAUCGGCAAUCGGAAUGAAACAUCUGAUUCUCCACGUCCAGGCCCCGUUGCGGUGUUACGUGGUAAAAGAAUGACGACUGGUAGUCAACAAAAGGCUACAAGUCAUCGACCAGUAAACAAGAGAUUUUCUCUUCCAUUUGGAAAAUUUCAUCAUUGCUUAUUGUGUUUAUAUAUAUUUUUUAAUAAUUCGCAAUGGGAGUGUUCUCUCUGUGUGUAGCUGUUUUGCUUUUCUCGCCUGGUUUGGCCCACUUAAAUGAAGG